RNAcentral lists this ribosomal RNA (302 nucleotides) under uncultured bacterium. Its description in RNAcentral is "partial 16S ribosomal RNA". It matches the Rfam family "Bacterial small subunit ribosomal RNA", at positions 508 to 809 of the family's 1533-position model. The record is from RNAcentral.
GCAGUAGCCGCGGUAAUGCGAAGGGUGCAAGCGUUAAUCGGAAUUACUGGGCGUAAAGCGUGCGUAGGCGGUUUGUUAAGUCUGUUGUGAAAUCCCCGGGCUCAACCUGGGAAUGGCAAUGGAUACUGGCAAGCUAGAGUGUGUCAGAGGAUGGUGGAAUUCCCGGUGUAGCGGUGAAAUGCGUAGAGAUCGGGAGGAACAUCAGUGGCGAAGGCGGCCAUCUGGGACAACACUGACGCUGAGGCACGAAAGCGUGGGGAGCAAACAGGAUUAGAUACCCCAGUAGUCCCUGUCUCUUAUAA